GGUGACCUGCGGAAGGAUCAUAUA
RNAcentral lists this ribosomal RNA (24 nucleotides) under Tetranychus urticae (two-spotted spider mite). RNAcentral describes it as "partial 18S ribosomal RNA". Lineage: Eukaryota; Metazoa; Arthropoda; Arachnida; Trombidiformes; Tetranychidae. The record is from RNAcentral.